Molecule: ribosomal RNA, 1248 nt
Filed under: metagenome
Description: bacterial SSU rRNA
Rfam family: Bacterial small subunit ribosomal RNA
Source: RNAcentral
GGGUAACGGCUCACCAAGGCGACGACGGGUAGCGGGACUGAGAGGUUGGCCCGCAACAUCGGGACUGAGACACUGCCCGGACCUCCACGGAGGGCUGCAGUAACGAAUAUUGGGCAAUGAGCGAAAGCUUGACCCAGCGACGCCGCGUGUAGGAGGAAGUCUUUCGGGAUGUAAACUACUGUCAGGGGGACGAAAGUGCGCUUCGGUGCAUUGAUCGAACCCAGAGGAAGUCACGGCUAACUUCGUGCCAGCAGCCGCGGUAAGACGAAGGUGGCAAGCGUUGUUCGGUAUUACUGGGCUUAAAGCGUGUGUAGGCGGAAGCGUAAGCGUUUUGUGAAAUCCCUCGGCUUAACCGAGGAAUUGCUUGGCGAACUGCGUUUCUUGAGGCAGGUAGGGGUGCGCAGAACUCUUGGUGGAGCGGUGGAAUGCGUAGAUAUCAAGAGGAAUGCCGGUGGAGAAGUCGGUGCACUGGGCCUGACCUGACGCUGAGACACGAAAGCGUGGGAGCGAACGGGAUUAGAUACCCCGGUAGUCCACGCCGUAAACGAUGCCUACUAGGUUGUGGUGGUUCUGACGCCAGCACAGCCGAAGCUAAAGUGUUAAGUAGGCCGCCUGGGGAGUACGGUCGCAAGGCUAAAACUCAAAGGAAUUGACGGGGGCUCACACAAGCGGUGGAGCAUGUGGAUUAAUUCGAAACAACGCGCAGAACCUUACCAGGGUUUGACAUGCUUGGAUGCCGCCGAGGAAACUCGGUUAGGCUGCCUUCGGGUGAAACUUGCACAGGUGCUGCAUGGCUGUCGUCAGCUCGUGUCGUGAGAUGUCGGGUUAAGUCCCUUAACGAGCGAAACCCUUGCCGCUAGUUGCCAGCGAGUCAUGCCGGGGACUCUAGCGGGACUGCCGGUGUUAAACCGGAGGAAGGUGGGGAUGACGUCAAGUCAUCAUGGCCUUUAUGCCCUGGGCUUCACACGUGCUACAAUGGUCAGAACAGAGCGACGCAAGACCGUGAGGUGGAGCAAAUCGCAAAAAUCGGGCCCCAGUUCGGAUUGCAGGCUGGCAACUCGCCUGCAUGAAGGUGGAAUCGCUAGUAAUCGCGUAUCAGCGAUGACGCGGUGAAUGUGUUCCUGAGCCUUGUACACACCGCCCGUCAAGUGAUGGGAGUUGGGAGUACCCGAAGUCGUCUUGCUAACCCCUCGGGGAGGCGGAUGCCGACGGUAAGCCCGAUGACUGGCACUAAGUCGGAACAAGGUA